This 75-nucleotide transfer RNA is filed under the name Candidatus Uhrbacteria bacterium. Its description in RNAcentral is "tRNA-Arg". It matches the Rfam family "tRNA". From Rfam's summary of the family: Transfer RNA (tRNA) molecules are approximately 80 nucleotides in length. Their secondary structure includes four short double-helical elements and three loops (D, anti-codon, and T loops). The record is from RNAcentral. Lineage: Bacteria; Candidatus Uhriibacteriota.
GUCCCCGUAGCACAAUGGAUAGUGCAGCGGACUUCUAAGCCGUUGAUGUUGGUUCGAUUCCAACCAGGGACACCA